This 460-nucleotide ribosomal RNA is filed under the name uncultured bacterium. RNAcentral describes it as "partial 16S ribosomal RNA". It matches the Rfam family "Bacterial small subunit ribosomal RNA", at positions 338 to 795 of the family's 1533-position model. The record is from RNAcentral.
CCUACGGGUGGCAGCAGUGAGGAAUAUUGGUCAAUGGGCGAGAGCCUGAACCAGCCAAGUCGCGUGAAGGAUGACGGCCCUAUGGGUUGUAAACUUCUUUUAUAUGGGAAUAAAAUGUUCCACGUGUGGGAUUUUGUAUGUACCAUAUGAAUAAGGAUCGGCUAACUCCGUGCCAGCAGCCGCGGUAAUACGGAGGAUCCGAGCGUUAUCCGGAUUUAUUGGGUUUAAAGGGAGCGUAGGUGGAUUGUUAAGUCAGUUGUGAAAGUUUGCGGCUCAACCGUAAAAUUGCAGUUGACACUGGCAGUCUUGAGUACAGUAGAGGUGGGCGGAAUUCGUGGUGUAGCGGUGAAAUGCUUAGAUAUCACGAAGAACUCCGAUUGCGAAGGCAGCUCACUGGACUGCAACUGACACUGAGGCUCGAAAGUGUGGGUAUCAAACAGGAUUAGAUACCCGGGUAGUC